Molecule: ribosomal RNA, 609 nt
Filed under: Triticum aestivum (bread wheat)
Lineage: Eukaryota; Viridiplantae; Streptophyta; Magnoliopsida; Poales; Poaceae
Description: partial small subunit ribosomal RNA
Source: RNAcentral
AUGAGCAUCCUGCGCGAUUUUGGUUACGCAACGGGCCUCUGCAUAAACUCGGUAAAAUCUUCAGUCGCACCUAUUAGAUGUGAAGAGCUUAACAUUCAGGAGGUGCUCGGGGGUUUUGGGGGAUCCACCGUGGUGUUUCCGAUGAAGUACCUAGGCCUCCCAGUGACACCAGGUCGCCUCCGACUCGUGCACCUCCAAUUCAUCAUCGAUAGGAUCAAGGCCCGGCUAGCAGCAUGGAAGGGCAAGCUGUUGCCGAUCUCGAGCAGACGUGUGCUGGUGCGUUGCAUGCUUAGUGUGAUGCUGACGAUCGCGCUGACAGUGUUGAGGGCACCAAAGAAGUUGUUCAAGGAGGUGGACAAGUGCCGGAGGCGCUUCCUCUGGCGACAAGACAAAGAGAUUACGGGAAGCAGCUACAAGAUCAACUGGCCAUCUGUGUGCUCGCCGACGGCGUGCCGUGGCCUCGGCAUCCACGACCCGCAAAGCUUCAGCCGCGCCUGCGACUCAGGUGGCUGUGGAUCACUUGGCAACACCCGGAGCGCCCAUGGGUGGGGUUGGAGACACCAUGCAGCACGGAGGACAGAGCGCUGUUCGUGGCGGCGACUACGGUGA